GGUGACAUAGCAACAAAUAUGCUAGGUGUUUGUACACCUGAGAUGCAAUUUGUUUAUGUUCUUCCUGGUUGGGAAGGUUCAGUUGCUGAUGGACGGGUUCUUCGAGAUGCCAUUAGUAGAAGACAUGGAUUAAAAGUUCCUCAUGGUUGUUAUUAUCUAGUUGAUGCUGGAUACACAAAUUGUGAGGGAUUUCUUGCACCAUUUAGAGGACAACGAUAUCAUUUGAACGAGUGGCGCGUGGUUAUCAGCCAAGUUCUCCGCAAGAGUUUUUUAAUAUGAAACAUGCCUCAGCACGUAAUGUCAUUGAAAGAUGCUUUGGCUUAUUAAAACUUAGAUGGGGAAUACUUAGGAGUCCAUCGUUCUAUCCUGUAAGGGUGCACAAUAGAAUUAUUAUUGCAUGUUGUUUGCUCCAUAAUUUUAUUCGAACCCAUAUGAGUAGUGAUCCCAUUGAAGCGGAGGUGGGAGAAGGAUUACCUACAAUUAAUGUGGUGGAUGACGAUGAACCGAAUAUCACAAAUAUUCAUCCAUCGGAUGCUUGGGCUACUUGGAGGAUGGAACUAGCCAACCAAAUGUUCGAUGAAUGGCAAGCAUCUAGAAAUUAGUUUGUGAAACUUUUGUGAAACUUUUGUAUUGAUUUUUGUAUUGUACUAAACUACAGAAAUUAUAAUAUAAUUUCUUCUAAUUCAGCA
Molecule: long non-coding RNA, 689 nt
Organism: Gossypium raimondii (Peruvian cotton)
Lineage: Eukaryota; Viridiplantae; Streptophyta; Magnoliopsida; Malvales; Malvaceae
Exons: 2
Source: RefSeq, a predicted model, not a curated record